This 253-nucleotide ribosomal RNA is filed under the name uncultured bacterium. Its description in RNAcentral is "partial 16S ribosomal RNA". It matches the Rfam family "Bacterial small subunit ribosomal RNA", at positions 524 to 776 of the family's 1533-position model. The record is from RNAcentral.
UACGAAGGGGGCUAGCGUUGUUCGGAAUUAUUGGGCGUAAAGGGCGCGUAGGCGGCUUCAUAAGUCAAAGGUGAAAUCCCUCGGCUCAACUGAGGAACUGCCUUUGAAACUGUGGAGCUUGAGGCCGGGAGGGGGUAGCGGAAUUCCACGUGUAGCGGUGGAAUGCGUAGACAUCGGGAGGAACACCUGCGGUGUAGACGGGUUACUGGACCGUAACUGACGCUGAGGCGCGAAAGCGUGGGGAGCAAACAGG